Molecule: ribosomal RNA, 481 nt
Filed under: uncultured bacterium
Lineage: Bacteria
Description: partial 16S ribosomal RNA
Rfam family: Bacterial small subunit ribosomal RNA
Source: RNAcentral
GACGAACGCUGGCGGCGUGCUUAACACAUGCAAGUCGAGCGGAAAGGCCACUUCGGUGGUACUCGAGCGGCGAAUGGGUGAGUAACACGUGAGUAAUCUGCCCCUGGCUUUGGGAUAGCCACCGGAAACGGUGAUUAAUACCGGAUACGACCACUUCUCGCAUGGGAUGGUGGUGGAAAGUUUUUUCGGCCAGGGAGGUGCUCGCGGCCUAUCAGCUUGAUGGUGAGGUAAUGGCUCACCAUGGCUUCGACGGGUAGCCGGCCAGAGAGGGUGACCGGUCACACUGGGACUGAGACACGGCCCAGACUCCUACGGGAGGCAGCAGUGGGGAAUAUUGGUCAAUGGGCGGAAGCCUGAUCCAGCAACGCCGCGUGAGGGAUGACGGCCUUCGGGUUGUAAACCUCUUUCAGCAGGGACGAAGCGCAAGUGACGGUACCUGCAGAAGAAGCACCGGCCAACUACGUGCCAGCCGCCGCCGUAA